AUCCUGGGCGUAAAGCGUGCGUAGGCGGCCUGGCAAGUCAGACGUGAAAGCCCUCGGCUCAACCGAGGAACUGCGUUUGAUACUGGUGUGCUUGAGUCUCGGAGAGGUUGGCGGAAUUCCUGGUGUAGGGGUGAAAUCCGUAGAUAUCUGGAGGAACACCGGUGGCGAAGGCGGCCAACUGGACCAGUACUGACGCUGAGGUACGAAAGCGUGGGGAGCAAACAGGAUUAGAUACCCUGGUAGUCCACGCUGUAAACGAUGGAUAUUAGGUGUCGGGGGUAUUGACCCCUGUGCCGCAGUUAACCCGUUAAAUAUCCCGCCCGGGGAGUAGGGUCGCAAGGCUGAAACUCAAAUGAAUUGACGGG
Molecule: ribosomal RNA, 365 nt
Filed under: uncultured bacterium
Lineage: Bacteria
Description: bacterial SSU rRNA
Rfam family: Bacterial small subunit ribosomal RNA
Source: RNAcentral